This 253-nucleotide ribosomal RNA is filed under the name uncultured bacterium. RNAcentral describes it as "partial 16S ribosomal RNA". It matches the Rfam family "Bacterial small subunit ribosomal RNA", at positions 524 to 776 of the family's 1533-position model. The record is from RNAcentral.
UACGAAGGGGGCUAGCGUUGUUCGGAAUUACUGGGCGUAAAGGGCGCGUAGGCGGUGUGUCAAGUCAGGCGUGAAAGCCCCGGGCUCAACCUGGGAACCGCGCUUGAGACUGGCACGCUAGAGUUCGGGAGAGGAUGGUGGAAUUCCCAGUGUAGAGGUGAAAUUCGUAGAUAUUGGGAAGAACACCGGUGGCGAAGGCGGCUCACUGGCUCGUUUCUGACGCUCAGGCGCGACAGCGUGGGGAUCAAACAGG